Long non-coding RNA from Carassius auratus (goldfish), 1404 nucleotides. RefSeq lists it as uncharacterized. NCBI's taxonomy places the organism in Eukaryota, Metazoa, Chordata, Actinopteri, Cypriniformes, Cyprinidae. The transcript is spliced from 3 exons. The record is from RefSeq and is a predicted model, not a curated record.
CGUGGACGGCGCAAGCUGGCCGACAAAUGGGACUCAACUGUGCAUGUUGUGGUUUCUGUGGAUACAAGGUGUCAUACUUACCGUGUAAGGAACACCAGGACCAAUCAGGAGAAGGUGGUUCAUAGGAACUUGCUUUUACGUGCAAAUUUCUUACCUGUUGACGUGAGGAAGGAUUGUGUUGAACCAGCUUCCGAAGACUCCGGGUCGGACUUUGAGACCGAUGACUCUAUGAACGACAAAGCUAUAAAUGAAUUAGAGGAUGUUGGAAACGAGAUUGAUGAAGCAGUUCAUUCUCCAGCUUGUCUGUCGACCCCAUCAAAUGCAGGGGAAACCAGAGGUCUAAGUUUCGGACCAGUAUCGGAGCAUGUCCUUGAUGGAACGGACGUUGAAAGUGAGACUCAGGAAAAAGUUCAGAGUUCAGAAUCUGACACUUCCAAUGGAGCAGUUCAUCCUCCAGCUUGUCAAUUGAGCCCUUCAAUGGGAGAGGAGACCAGAGAUUCAGAUUUCAGAUCAGGAUCGGAGCAUGUCCUUGAUGGAAUAGAUGAUGAAAUUGUGAGUUGGGAAAAAGUUCAGAGUCCCGCAUCUGACCCUCAUGAUAUGAAUGUUGAGGAAGUUGAACGUGACAUGGAAAAGUCAAAACCAACUGACGGAGUUCCUGGAGAAGUAGUUCAGCCUUCGUCUGAUAUGACUCACACGGUCAGAACUAGGGCUGGCAGAUUGAUUAAACCAGUUGAUAGACUGAUUCAAAUUAUGACCCAGAAGACCUUGUUACGUAGCCCUACGCUUAGCCUUCUAUGGUCAAAAACUUCUUAAGUGGCAUUUGAGUUCUCCAGUCUGAAUAAUUCAUUUGGGGUAAAAUAUUAGUGGUGAUCAUUUGAGUAUCUUUGGAGUAGUGUUUAUGGCACUUCUUUUUGCGGGUGGGCAUUUGAGAGUCUGGCCAACUUUCUUUUGUCACUCUCCCAGUGAGUUGGGUAACAGGGUUGUUGCGUGCAGAUACUGUGGUUUUUAGAGUGUGAUCACAUCCCCAAUUUCGAUUAGUCACUAGUAUUAGAUUAGUUUUGUGAAGUUCAGGGGGGUGAAUGUAGCAAGUUGGGAAGAGAAAAGUAUUGAUUGUGUCUUGGGUUUGUAUGAUGAACUUCCCAAAACUAUUUUUCUUUGUUUUUGGGAACUAUCGGUUGGGGUGUUUGUUGUGUGGGACAUUUAUCAGUGUUGCGCGCUAUGCAUUUGGAGUGCGUGAGUUACGUCAUCCUCAGUUUGCGGAUAGACGCUGGCGAGGAAAGACGCACUUAUUUUCUCUCGCUCUUCCUACUUAAUGUUGUGUGUGAUGUGGGAAGAGGUUGGCGCAACGAAAAAUAUUGAUCAAAUUGUCCCAUAUGUUUCCAGGGCGGGUCAAUAAAUUCAGCU